UCCCCGUUAUCCGGGGCGGUUUCGCUAGAGUGCCCGGCUUGACCCGCUGGCAACUAACGAUAAGGGUUGCGCUCGUUUCCGGUUCUUAAAACCAGCAUGUCAAGCCCAGGUAAGGUUCUUCGCGUCGCAUCGAAUUAAGCAACAUGCUCCGCCGCUUGUGCGGGGCCCCGUCAAUUCCUUUGAGUUUUAGCCUUGCGGCCGUACUCCCCAGGCGGGGUGCUUAAUGCGUUAGCUUCGGCACGGAGGGAGUUGACACCCCCCACACCUAGCACCCAUCGUUUACGGCGUGGACUAC
RNAcentral lists this unclassified non-coding RNA (295 nucleotides) under uncultured Actinomycetes bacterium. RNAcentral's name for it is "uncultured actinobacterium contains 16S-23S intergenic spacer region". Lineage: Bacteria; Bacillati; Actinomycetota; Actinomycetes. The record is from RNAcentral.